RNAcentral lists this ribosomal RNA (1468 nucleotides) under uncultured Bordetella sp. RNAcentral's name for it is "partial 16S-23S ribosomal RNA intergenic spacer". It matches the Rfam family "Bacterial small subunit ribosomal RNA". Lineage: Bacteria; Pseudomonadati; Pseudomonadota; Betaproteobacteria; Burkholderiales; Alcaligenaceae. The record is from RNAcentral.
GAGGAUUUGAUUCUGGCUCCAGAUUGAACGCUGGCGGGAUGCUUCCACAUGCAAGUCGAACGGCACGGACUUCGUCUGGUGGCGAGUGGCGAACGGGUGAGUAAUGUAUCGGAACGUGCCUAGUAGCGGGGAUAACUGCGCGGCGUAGCUAAUACCGCAUACGCCCUUCGGGGAAAGCGGGGGACCUUCGGGCCUCGCACUGGAAGCGGCCGAUAUCGGAUUAGCUAGUUGGUGGGGUAACGGCUCACCAAGGCGACGAUCCGUAGCUGGUUGAAGGACGACCAGCCACACUGGGACUGAGACACGGCGAAUACAGGAGGCGGCAGUGGGGAAUUUUUGGACAAUGGGGAAACCUGAUCCAGCCAUCCCGCGUGUGCGAUGAAGGCCUUCCCAGGUUAAUAAAGCACUUUUGGCAGGAAAGAAACGGCACGGGAUAUUACCCCCGUGCAACUGACGUACCUGCAGAAUAGCUUUCCGGCCAAUAACUACAUUGCCAGCAGCCGCGGUAAUACGUAGAAGAUUGCAAGCGUUAAUCGGAAUUACUGGGCGUAAAGCGUGCGCAGGCGGUUCGGAAAGAAGAUGUGAAAUCCCGGAAGCAGCACGAACUGCAUUUUAACUACCGAGCUAGAGUGUGUCAGAGGGAGGUGGAAUUCCUGUCCGUAGCAGUGAAAUGCGUAGAUAUGCGGAGGAACACCGAUGGCGAAGGCAGCCUCCUGGGGAUAACGCUGACGCUCAUGCACAAGCGUGGGAGCAAACAGGAUUAGAUACCCUGUUAGUCCCACGCCUAAACAGUGUCAACUAGCUGUUGGGGCCUUCGGGCCUUGGUAGCGCAGCUAACGCGUGAAGUUGACCGCCUGCGCAAGUGCAGUCACCCAAGAUUAAAAACUCCAAAAGGAAUUGACAGGGACCCGCACAAGCGGUGGAUGAUGUGGAUUAAUUCGAUGCAACGCGAAAAACCUUACCUACCCUUGACAUGUCUGGAAUCCCGAAGAGAUUUAGGUACUCGCAAAGAGAGGGCUUGGAACACAGGUGCUGCAUGGCUGUCGUCAGCUCGUGUCGUGAGAUGUUGCGGGUUAAGUCCUGGCGAGCGCAACCCUUGUCGAUAGUUGCUACGGAGAAGACUCUAUUAGGACUGCCGGUGACAAACCGGAGGAAGGUGGGGAUGACGUCAGAGUCUCAUGGCCCUUAUGGUGGGGCUUCACGUCAUACAAUGGUCGGGACAGAGGGUCGCCAACCCGCGAGGGCAUCCAAUCAAGGCGAUCGUAGUCCGGACCGCAGUCUGCAACUCGACUGCGUGAAGUCGGAAUCGCUAGUAAUCGCGGAUCAACUGUCGCGGUGAAUACGUUCCCGGGUCUUGUACACACCGCCCGUCACCAUGGGAGUGGGUUUACCAGAAGUAGUUAGCCUAACCGUAAGGGCGAUUACCACGGUAGGAUUCAUGACUGGGGUGAAGUCGUAACAAAGGUAA